Molecule: long non-coding RNA, 425 nt
Organism: Chiloscyllium plagiosum (whitespotted bambooshark)
Lineage: Eukaryota; Metazoa; Chordata; Chondrichthyes; Orectolobiformes; Hemiscylliidae
Source: RefSeq, a predicted model, not a curated record
GCGUUCUGCCUUUUCGCCGCUGGACUCCGGAGUAUUAGGAUAUGUGUAUCCUGGUGGUGGUACUCAGGCUUCAAGGCCUACCCUCCCCUCACCAUGUGGGGUAGGAACACAACGUGGCGGGUCCGAUCAUCAGUGAUGGUCGCCUGCUGUCGUCCUUUAGCUCCACCUCGAGCGGCUGGAUUGUGAAUGUGUCCUGUCCCUCAUUGUAUUAAAAUGAGUGAUCUCUAUUGGUCUGUGCCCCAGAUGUAUACACUUUGAACCAAGUGGAAGAGUUGAAGUCUAUAUCCAGAGCAUGCCAUCUGAGUGCACAUUUGAGGAUUAAACGAGUUUGGAGCUGACCUGCAUAGUGAACAAGGUUGGAUUUGAAGAUGUGGAAGAUUUCUGCAAUGUAGUUUGAUUAAUUGCUUAAUAAAUCUCUUUUUUAA